This 490-nucleotide ribosomal RNA is filed under the name uncultured bacterium. Its description in RNAcentral is "partial 16S ribosomal RNA". It matches the Rfam family "Bacterial small subunit ribosomal RNA", at positions 355 to 855 of the family's 1533-position model. The record is from RNAcentral.
UGGGGAAUAUUGCACAAUGGGCGAAAGCCUGAUGCAGCAACGCCGCGUGAGGGAUGACGGCCUUCGGGUUGUAAACCUCUUUCAGCAGGGAAGAAGCGAAAGUGACGGUACCUGCAGAAGAAGCGCCGGCUAACUACGUGCCAGCAGCCGCGGUAAUACGUAGGGCGCAAGCGUUGUCCGGAAUUAUUGGGCGUAAAGAGCUCGUAGGCGGUUAGUCGCGUCUGCUGUGAAAACUCGAGGCUCAACCUCGGGCUUGCAGUGGGUACGGGCUGACUAGAGUGCGGUAGGGGUGACUGGAAUUCCUGGUGUAGCGGUGGAAUGCGCAGAUAUCAGGAGGAACACCGAUGGCGAAGGCAGGUCACUGGGCCGCAACUGACGCUGAGGAGCGAAAGCAUGGGGAGCGAACAGGAUUAGAUACCCUGGUAGUCCAUGCCGUAAACGUUGGGCACUAGGUGUGGGGUCCAUUCCACGGAUUCCGUGCCGCAGCAAA